AAAAGAAGAAAGAAGAAGGGAAAUCAACCGUAGAGCUUCACCGGAGCUGGGUCUUGGUAUUUUGAGCCCGGAUUAAUGAUCAGCCCAUCGAGAUCUUCGAUUUGAAGUAGGUAUUAUACAUAUUCUAAGGAUUCUUGGGAAAACCCUCUUUUUGAUUUUUGGGAAAGAACCCACUUCAAUCUCGCUAAUCCUAUUUGGGUAAUCGAAACUAAGGUCUAACAGAAGGUGUGUACAAUGAUUUUGAAGGAUUUGGAUGAAGUGUUGGUGAAGAUCUAGAGUUUUGAGAGUUUUUGAGCUAAAGAAGUGAAAUUUGGGGUUUCAAUGGUAUUCGUGAGAAAGAGGUAAAAAUCUCCAUUUUUCUUUUGAUUUGAUCUUAGAUCUAGGUUGAUGAUACAUGAUUGGACCUUAGAUGAGUGAUUUGAGUCACUGAAUCGACCCCAAAGAAGUUCCCCAAGCCGGAGAGAAGAUGGGAAAGAUGAUAGAAGAAUUUCAUUUCAAGACUGGGGGUGUUCAAACCCACCUGUCUUUGGGUCUCUGGCCCACCUGUGUUCCCUGAACUCAAUUUCUGAGCCUCUGGUGUAACUGGCAGGUAUAAGACCGAUGGGCUCCAAGGCUUGCCUGUCUUGACUCAUGCCCACCUAUCUUUCCAGAAUACCCAGAAUGGGUCCAAAUUUGAUGAGUAAUCCCCAUUUUUUUAUUCUAAACCUAAUUUUAGUGUUCAAACAUGAUGAUUUUGACCCCAAAAUAAUGAAAUGAUAAACUAUUAUGUUUAUGAUAGGUUACACUCAUUAUACGCGUACCCACACAUUGGAUUUCUUACGUAUCGGGUACAAGCACCGUGUACAUAUACAAGUUACUAGCUUAAAGAUCAGGAGUCGGGUCCCACUGUAGAGUUUUCCUCCGAUGACUGGUGGGUCCUUGAUGAGUUCAAGCAUGGUGCUAAUUGAAUGUGCAAGGAUUGUGCUGCAUAGCUGCAGUGACUCUAGAGUGAUUCUUUUUUAUUUUUUUGAUGUACUCCCUUUUGAUGACUUGAUGCUUAAAUUGUUAUAUUUUUGUAUAUAUAUCAUGCCUUCAGGCCUAAAUGUAUAUAACUUUUAUAACUCAAUUUGGGUAUCAAGUAUUUAGGAAACAAUUACAUGUAUUAUUAUAAACAAGUCUUCAGCUGAAAAUACAGGUCUGAUCUUAGUUUAGUGGAUGUA
This is a long non-coding RNA of Macadamia integrifolia, 1199 nucleotides long. RefSeq lists it as uncharacterized. NCBI's taxonomy places the organism in Eukaryota, Viridiplantae, Streptophyta, Magnoliopsida, Proteales, Proteaceae. The transcript has 2 exons. The record is from RefSeq and is a predicted model, not a curated record.